RNAcentral lists this ribosomal RNA (251 nucleotides) under uncultured bacterium. Its description in RNAcentral is "partial 16S ribosomal RNA". It matches the Rfam family "Bacterial small subunit ribosomal RNA", at positions 525 to 775 of the family's 1533-position model. The record is from RNAcentral.
ACGGAGGAUCCGAGCGUUAUCCGGAUUUAUUGGGUUUAAAGGGAGCGUAGGUGGGCUGGUAAGUCAGUUGUGAAAGUUUGCGGCUCAACCGUAAAAUUGCAGUUGAUACUGUCAGUCUUGAGUACAGUAGAGGUGGGCGGAAUUCGUGGUGUAGCGGUGAAAUGCUUAGAUAUCACGAAGAACUCCGAUUGCGAAGGCAGCUCACUGGACUGCAACUGACACUGAUGCUCGAAAGUGUGGGUAUCAAACAG